CAGAAGCCCUCCAUCAAGCACACAGAGGGAAGCGUGGCAUUUAAACAUUAUGAGGACAUAGAGAGGGAAACCCAGGGCAGACAGAAAUGACGGAUCCAUGUUUGUGUUAUGGUAGGUUGAGGAAGGACACCAAUUCAGCCUGAGAAGAUUAUAGAGAGGAGGAAGACAGUCAUUAUGCAGUUUUCCAAAGUGGUUGUGCUUGGAUUGCUACAUUUACAUUGCUUUGACUCCAAUCAGCUCAGCUGGAUACUGCAACGUGUGAACAUGCAACAGGUCACAAAACCGCAACCAUGA
Molecule: long non-coding RNA, 294 nt
Filed under: Anas platyrhynchos platyrhynchos (common mallard)
Lineage: Eukaryota; Metazoa; Chordata; Aves; Anseriformes; Anatidae
Description: lncRNA (ENSAPLG00000026624.1)
Source: RNAcentral